Non-coding RNA from Vicugna pacos (alpaca), 72 nucleotides. Lineage: Eukaryota; Metazoa; Chordata; Mammalia; Artiodactyla; Camelidae. The record is from the annotation of a RefSeq genome assembly.
GAGGGUAUAGCUCAGUGGUAGAGUUUGUGCCUUGCAUGCACAAGGUCCUACGUUCAAUCCUCAGUACCUCCA